RNAcentral lists this ribosomal RNA (253 nucleotides) under uncultured bacterium. Its description in RNAcentral is "partial 16S ribosomal RNA". It matches the Rfam family "Bacterial small subunit ribosomal RNA", at positions 524 to 776 of the family's 1533-position model. The record is from RNAcentral.
UACGAAGGGGGCUAGCGUUGUUCGGAAUUACUGGGCGUAAAGGGCGCGUAGGCGGUACUUCAAGUCAGGCGUGAAAGCCCCGGGCUCAACCUGGGAACCGCGCUUGAGACUGGAGAACUAGAGUUCGGGAGAGGAUGGUGGAAUUCCCAGUGUAGAGGUGAAAUUCGUAGAUAUUAGGAAGAACACCAGUGGCGAAGGCGGCUAACUGGUCCGGUACUGACGCUGAGGUGCGAAAGCGUGGGGAGCAAACAGG